This 490-nucleotide ribosomal RNA is filed under the name uncultured bacterium. Its description in RNAcentral is "partial 16S ribosomal RNA". It matches the Rfam family "Bacterial small subunit ribosomal RNA", at positions 30 to 507 of the family's 1533-position model. The record is from RNAcentral.
AUUGAACGCUGGCGGCAGGCCUAACACAUGCAAGUCGAACGGUAACAGGAAGAAGCUUGCUUCUUUGCUGACGAGUGGCGGACGGGUGAGUAAUGUCUGGGAAACUGCCUGAUGGAGGGGGAUAACUACUGGAAACGGUAGCUAAUACCGCAUAACGUCGCAAGACCAAAAAGGGGGACCUUCGGGCCUCUUGCCAUCGGAUGUGCCCAGAUGGGAUUAGCUAGUAGGUGGGGUAACGGCUCACCUAGGCGACGAUCCCUAGCUGGUCUGAGAGGAUGACCAGCCACACUGGAACUGAGACACGGUCCAGACUCCUACGGGAGGCGGCAGUGGGGAAUAUUGCACAAUGGGCGCAAGCCUGAUGCAGCCAUGCCGCGUGUAUGAAGAAGGCCUUCGGGUUGUAAAGUACUUUCAGCGGGGAGGAAGGGAGUAAAGUUAAUACCUUUGCUCAUUGACGUUACCCGCAGAAGAAGCACCGGCUAACUCCGUG